Molecule: ribosomal RNA, 433 nt
Filed under: uncultured bacterium
Lineage: Bacteria
Description: partial 16S ribosomal RNA
Rfam family: Bacterial small subunit ribosomal RNA
Source: RNAcentral
AACGAACGCUGGCGGCAUGCCUAACACAUGCAAGUCGAACGAGACCUUCGGGUCUAUUGGCGCACGGGUGCGUAACGCGUGGGAACCUGCCCUUAGGUUCGGAAUAACUCCCCGAAAGGGGUGCUAAUACCGGAUAAUGUCUUCGGACCAAAGAUUUAUCGCCUUUGGAUGGGCCCGCGUUGGAUUAGCUAGUUGGUAGGGUAAAAGCCUACCAAGGCGACGAUCCAUAGCUGGUCUGAGAGGAUGAUCAGCCACACUGGGACUGAGACACGGCCCAGACUCCUACGGGAGGCAGCAGUGGGGAAUAUUAGACAAUGGGCGAAAGCCUGAUCCAGCAAUGCCGCGUGAGUGAUGAAGGCGUUAGGGUUGUAAAGCUCUUUUACCCGGGAUGAUAAUGACAGUACCGGGAGAAUAAGCUCCGGCUAACUCCGUG